CCGAGUUUACAACUCCCAACCCCUGUGAACAUACCUAUACGUUGCCUCGGCGGAUCAGGCCCGCGCCCCGUAAAAAGGGACGGCCCGCCCGAGGACCCCUAAACUCUGUUUUUAGUGGAACUUCUGAGUAAAACAAACAAAUAAAUCA
RNAcentral lists this unclassified non-coding RNA (148 nucleotides) under soil metagenome. Its description in RNAcentral is "partial internal transcribed spacer 1". The record is from RNAcentral.